Molecule: long non-coding RNA, 1371 nt
Organism: Strongylocentrotus purpuratus (purple sea urchin)
Lineage: Eukaryota; Metazoa; Echinodermata; Echinoidea; Camarodonta; Strongylocentrotidae
Exons: 5
Source: RefSeq, a predicted model, not a curated record
CGAUGAACCCAACUUUAUCUGUGACGAUGAACCCAACUUUGGUGCUUGACACGGUUUUCUGUAGAAAUCAUGAAAUAUACAGAGUGUAUUACCAAAUGCUUGCUUCUUUGAGUAUGUGCCUGAAACAAGAAUGUCUUGGAGAAAACAGACCACCACGAGAAGGGAUUGAGAGGAAGGCCUUGCUGUUGAGAGAUCAUGGGGUGCCUUGAGGUUCCACUUCCAGUCUUGAUGUUCUACCCCUUACCUCAAAGCGAUGGACUCUUGUGCCUGGCAAUAUAUGAGCGAAGCACAAUGGACUGGUGCCUGUACAUGUAAUGUAUUUCAUGCAAAUGAACGGUAGAAUGACAAGCUCACGAUGAUAUGGUAGACAAGGACCUUGCUGUCUAAAGCUUGGAGGCCAGAUGACAGUGUCUGAACCGGCUUGUCAGAAUUGCGUACAAGGAUGCCAUUGGACUUUGCUGUACUUGUAGCUGAAGGGGAGCAGUCACCAAAAGGAUCGUGCAACUCGAAAACAAUGUGGAUACCUCUACCGAGUUCAUCUCAAAUAACAUGGCUCUUCAAGAAUCAAGGUGUGAUAGUGGAUGUACAUGUAGAGGGGUUUGUGACCCUCCUGACUGUGGACUACUUGCAAUACACAUAAACUCAAUCAAUGGAUUGUAGAGGAGUAAUGGUGGGUCCGGUGAGCUCAACUUUGGAGGUUAAUUUAGCAAAAUUAAUGAAGUUCCUUUUAAUAUGGGUGUAUAUGGUUCCAGGGAUUAAUUUGACGCAAUGCCUUGUAGUGACACGCCCAUUUAAGGGGCAACACGUCUCAGAAAGUAUAAAAUGGGAAGCAGUUUCUGAAUUGGCGCAAGCUUUUACUUUUCGGAUGACUUCCUCAUUUUGUUUCAUACUCCAUUUCCUUUGCCGCCAUGAGGUGCUAAAGUUUUAGCAGAGUUCGGGGCGUCCAGCCCAUAGAUGUGACUUUUCGUGAUUGUAUGUAAUAAAUUGUAAUAAAGUUACUAUCCACUUCAACACUUGACUCUUGUCGAGAAUUUUAUUUCUUCGUGUGGACUUUGUUCUUCUCUGGAACGCGAAUUGGGCAGGGUGAUCGAAGGCCACCGGCCACUCAGUAGCCGGGGCUUUUUCAUGUAUAAAAAAUGUUUGAAGACAAGCGACUGCAUUAUAAGCUCAGCAUGAUCAGUAACAUUUUUGAGAGAAUUCAAGUCAUCGUUUGAUUUGAUUUGAUUUGAUUUAUUUAUUUCUGUUUGAUUUUCUUUUUCUUUUGCAUUUUUACAAAUAUAUAACAAACAAAUAUUGCAAAUUUACACAUGACAAAAGAAUGUAUGUAGAAUAAGGUAAGGCUGGGUGUAACUAAUCGAGAACAUCAAACAG